RNAcentral lists this long non-coding RNA (317 nucleotides) under Elaeis guineensis (African oil palm). RNAcentral's name for it is "long non-coding RNA (EGUI_LNC025069)". The record is from RNAcentral. Lineage: Eukaryota; Viridiplantae; Streptophyta; Magnoliopsida; Arecales; Arecaceae.
CCUCUAUGAACAAAUAUUACAAUUAUUAUAACAUAUUUUCUUUUGCAAAACAGAGCUGUUGGAACAAAAAAAAAAAGACCAGCACUAUGGCAACCUUAGAAACCAAAACAUCACAUUGUGACAACAUUAAAAACCAAAACAUAACUUGAUUAAACUAGAUACAUGGAGGAGAGGAAGAUGGCUAACCGUGAGGAGGACAGGGAGGGGGUUAGGGCACGUGUGGAGACGACAAAGGGGCGUCUGGAGGCAGCAGGUGAUGGGAUAGGUGCAACAACACUGCCAGUGUGAGCGACGAAGAUAGGGACAUCGAGAAUGCC